CCUACGGGAGGCAGCAGUAGGGAAUCUUCCGCAAUGGACGAAAGUCUGACGGAGCAACGCCGCGUGAGUGAUGAGGGCUUUCGGGUCGUAAAACUCUGUUGUUAGGGAAGAACAAGUCUAGUUGAAUAAGCUGGCACCUUGACGGUACCUAACCAGAAAGCCACGGCUAACUACGUGCCAGCAGCCGCGGUAAU
RNAcentral lists this ribosomal RNA (194 nucleotides) under uncultured Bacillus sp. RNAcentral describes it as "partial 16S ribosomal RNA". It matches the Rfam family "Bacterial small subunit ribosomal RNA", at positions 338 to 524 of the family's 1533-position model. The record is from RNAcentral. Lineage: Bacteria; Bacillati; Bacillota; Bacilli; Caryophanales; Bacillaceae.